UACGUAGGGGGCAAGCGUUGUCCGGAAUUAUUGGGCGUAAAGAGCGUGUAGGCGGUCCGGUAAGUCCGCUGUGAAAGUCCAGGGCUCAACCCUGGAAUGCCGGUGGAUACUGCCGGGCUAGAGUCCGGAAGAGGCGAGUGGAAUUCCUGGUGUAGCGGUGAAAUGCGCAGAUAUCGGGAGGAACACCAGUAGCGAAGGCGGCUCGCUGGGCCAUACCUGACGCUGAGACGCGAAAGCGUGGGGAGCAAACAGG
RNAcentral lists this ribosomal RNA (253 nucleotides) under uncultured bacterium. RNAcentral describes it as "partial 16S ribosomal RNA". It matches the Rfam family "Bacterial small subunit ribosomal RNA", at positions 524 to 776 of the family's 1533-position model. The record is from RNAcentral.